This 284-nucleotide ribosomal RNA is filed under the name Staphylococcus epidermidis. Its description in RNAcentral is "partial 16S ribosomal RNA". It matches the Rfam family "Bacterial small subunit ribosomal RNA", at positions 1250 to 1533 of the family's 1533-position model. Lineage: Bacteria; Bacillati; Bacillota; Bacilli; Caryophanales; Staphylococcaceae. The record is from RNAcentral.
CGAAACCGCGAGGUCAAGCAAAUCCCAUAAAGUUGUUCUCAGUUCGGAUUGUAGUCUGCAACUCGACUAUAUGAAGCUGGAAUCGCUAGUAAUCGUAGAUCAGCAUGCUACGGUGAAUACGUUCCCGGGUCUUGUACACACCGCCCGUCACACCACGAGAGUUUGUAACACCCGAAGCCGGUGGAGUAACCAUUUGGAGCUAGCCGUCGAAGGUGGGACAAAUGAUUGGGGUGAAGUCGUAACAAGGUAGCCGUAUCGGAAGGUGCGGCUGGAUCACCUCCUUU